This 253-nucleotide ribosomal RNA is filed under the name uncultured bacterium. RNAcentral describes it as "partial 16S ribosomal RNA". It matches the Rfam family "Bacterial small subunit ribosomal RNA", at positions 524 to 776 of the family's 1533-position model. The record is from RNAcentral.
UACGUAGGCAGCGAGCGUUGUUCGGAGUUACUGGGCGUAAAGCGUGCGUAGGCGGCGGUCCAUGUCUGGUGUGAAAUCUCCCGGCUUAACUGGGAGGGUGCGCCGGAAACGGGGCUGCUGGAGUGCGGGAGAGGUAAGCGGAAUUCCCGGUGUAGCGGUGAAAUGCGUAGAUAUCGAGAGGAACACCGGCGGCGAAGGCGGCCAUCUGGACGAGGACUGACGCUGAGAUGCGAAAGCGUGGGGAGCAAACAGG